Callithrix jacchus (white-tufted-ear marmoset) is the source of this 864-nucleotide non-coding RNA. Lineage: Eukaryota; Metazoa; Chordata; Mammalia; Primates; Cebidae. The record is from RefSeq and is a predicted model, not a curated record.
CAGGGAAAGCAUGCUGCUUCUUCAAAGACUCCAAUCUCAGAUGGCAAAAUACAAGGAAGCUGAGGUAGAUCUUCUGGAGUUUUAGAUAGACCACUGUAGCUCAGUCAGAGGUCCAAUUAUGAUAAUACCCACAUGGCCCUGGUCUCCCACAGCCUACAUCCAAGCCUCUGGAGAAGCUGAGUAGCACUGCCUUGAUUCACCACAGAUGCUAUAGAAUCAGCAGAAAGGAAGACCGUGAAAAAGAAAAAUAGAAUCUUUUAAGAGAUGGGGUCUCACUAUAUUUCCCAAAAUGAACUUGAACUCCUGGGCUUAAGCAAUCCUCCCACCUCAGCCUUCCAAGUUAUUGGGACUAUAUAGGUACACACCACUGCGUUCAGCUAAAUUUUUGUAUUUCCAUGGACAUAUAAUACAUUUACAUAUCUACUAUCUCAUAAUUUUCUGUAAAAUAGACUCUGAGUUGGAGAUUUGCACACAGGAAGUUUAAUGGGUUAUCCUCUGGAACAAUAUCUGUAAGAGAGGGAGGGAAGCAGGAUUGUUCUAAGGGAAAAGUUGAAGCGUGAUGCAGUUACAACAGAGGCAUGCAUUGGUUAAUUCCACAUGGAAAUUUAGAUCUUGGGUACCCCUUCCAACUGCUCUUGAUUUGAGAUCAGGAGUCCCUCUGUAACCACAAAUUGACUAGUCACAGGAUAUAAGCUGCCUCUUGGGGAGAGGGCUGGACAUUAGAUAAAGCAGCUCCAUGGAAAUUCUAAGACAGUGACUCAAAUGUGGCCUGUCAGCAGACAAUCUUCUAUGCAGUUGAUGGAAUAACUGCCUCUGUCCUGAGGAGGUGACUGCAACUUUCACUACAGUUCAUCUCUGUGCCAC